This 208-nucleotide ribosomal RNA is filed under the name uncultured archaeon. RNAcentral describes it as "partial 16S ribosomal RNA". It matches the Rfam family "Archaeal small subunit ribosomal RNA", at positions 125 to 332 of the family's 1478-position model. The record is from RNAcentral.
AAUAAUCUCGGGAAACUGAGCAUAAUUCUUGGUCGAUCAUAAUGCCUGGAAUGGUUUAUGGUUAAAAUGAUUCGUCCCCAUAGGAUGGGACCGCGGCCUAUCAGCUUGUUGUCGAGGUAAUGGCCCACCAAGGCGAUUACAGGUACGGGCUCUGAGAGGAGAAGCCCGGAGAUGGGUACUGAGACACGGACCCACGCCCUAUGGGGCG